Molecule: long non-coding RNA, 396 nt
Filed under: Populus tremula
Lineage: Eukaryota; Viridiplantae; Streptophyta; Magnoliopsida; Malpighiales; Salicaceae
Description: long non-coding RNA (PTRE_LNC002897)
Source: RNAcentral
GAGGACUCAAUGCCAGAGGAGAUGGAGCUGGAGACUUCAACUUAGGCUUGCUGGGAGCUGGAGCCGGAACAAGAGCUGGUGGAGCUGCCAAUGGAGCUGGUGGAGGAACAGCGGGAGGAGGGGUUGCUGGUGGAGGAGUAGCAGGUGGUGGGGUUGCUGGUGGAGGUGUUGCUGGUGGAGGGGUGGCGGGAGGAGGAGUUGCUGGUGGUGGGGUUGCGGGAGGAGGGGUGGCAGGUGGAGGGGUGGCAGGUGGCGGGGCUGAAACUGGAGGAGGGGUAGCUGGAGGUGGAGAUUGGGUAACGGGAGGUGGGGCUGAAACUGGUGGAGGAGUGGUUGCUGGUGGUGGGGAAGAAAUUGGUGUGGGUGGUGCUGGUGUUGCUGUUGGUGACGUUGCUG